AGAGUUUGAUCAUGGCUCAGAAUGAACGUUGGCGGCGUGGAUUAGGCAUGCAAGUCGUACGAGAAUCGUAGCAAUACGAGGAAAGUGGCGAAAGGGAGAGGAUUACGUGGGAAUCUACCCUCAGACCUGGGAUAGCGGCGGGAAACUGCCGGUAAUACCAGAUAAUGUCUUUGGACUAAAGGUGUGAUUCCGUCUGGGGAUGAGCCCACGUCCUAUUAGCUUGUUGGUGGGGUAAUGGCCUACCAAGGCAAUGAUGGGUAGCGGGUGUGAGAGCACGACCCGCCUCACUGGGACUGAGAUACUGCCCAGACACCUACGGGUGGCUGCAGUCGAGAAUCUUCGGCAAUGGGCGAAAGCCUGACCGAGCGACGCCGCGUGCGGGAUUGAAGGCCUUCGGGUUGUAAACCGCUGUCGUAGGGGAGCAAGAGAAGAGGGUUCUCCCUCUAAUUUGAGCGAUCCUAGGAGGAAGGACGGGCUAAGUUCGUGCCAGCAGCCGCGGUAAGACGAACCGUCCGAACGUUAUUCGGUAUCACUGGGCUUAAAGAGUUCGUAGGCGGCUCCGUAGGUGAGGUGUGAAAUCCCUCGGCUCAACCGAGGAAUUGCGCUUCAAACCGUGGAGCUAGAGGAAGAUAGGGGUGAGCGGAACAGAUGGUGGAGCGGUGAAAUGCGUUGAUAUCAUCUGGGAACACCGGUGGCGAAAGCGGCUCGCUGGAUCUUUUCUGACGCUGAGGAACGAAAGCUAGGGGAAGCGACCGGGAUUAGAUUCCCCCGGUAGUCCUAGCCCGUAAACGAUGAGCACUAUUCUGUGGGG
This 811-nucleotide ribosomal RNA is filed under the name uncultured bacterium. RNAcentral describes it as "bacterial SSU rRNA". It matches the Rfam family "Bacterial small subunit ribosomal RNA", at positions 8 to 828 of the family's 1533-position model. The record is from RNAcentral.